Molecule: long non-coding RNA, 452 nt
Filed under: Gallus gallus (chicken)
Lineage: Eukaryota; Metazoa; Chordata; Aves; Galliformes; Phasianidae
Source: RNAcentral
GUUAAUAGCUAAGUUAGCUUGUAACUUUCCAAUCCGAGAUGAGGGCUCUUUGGUUUUAAUGGGAACGGGACCUGUAGAUUUCUCUGUAGUUACUGUCUUCAGAGCUUCAUGCUGUUUGGCACUUAAAGCAUUUUCUAGAGGAUUACAAUUCUCUGAGGAAGGGACAGAACUGGUCUUGACUGUUUUCUUCUCUGCUAUUUUCGGAGGGUUUGUUUUAGCAGUACUGAAGAGAUCAUCUUCAUCAUCAUCCCCAAAAAUACUUCCUCCAGAUGAUGGUUUCAGGAUACGAUUUGCAGACAUUGACGUCUUGGGACUGGCAAAGAGGUCAACAUCCGGAUCAUUGUCCUUCUGAAGUUUGUGACUGAAAAGAAGCUCUUCAUCUUGAAAGACACCAGUGCUUUUGGGACGAAUGUUCUUCUCAGAAGGCACAUCAUUGCCUUUGUGUGCAUUUU